Ruditapes philippinarum (Manila clam) is the source of this 725-nucleotide long non-coding RNA. RefSeq lists it as uncharacterized. The transcript is spliced from 2 exons. The record is from RefSeq and is a predicted model, not a curated record. NCBI's taxonomy places the organism in Eukaryota, Metazoa, Mollusca, Bivalvia, Venerida, Veneridae.
AUAUUUAUGACACCUUUAUACUAUGCUAAUGCAGCAGGUUGCAAGAAUUUUCACUUAUUGUUUCAUUUUAUUGUAGAAUAUUGAAAUAAUACUUUAGGCAAAUGUCAGUGUACAGAUAAAGGAUCUUUGAUGUGAAGAAACUGAUGUAAUAGAAAAAAUCAACAAGAUAUCACACCAUACCUAGAUUUCACCAAGUGCUGCUUCUCUAUUUUAGUUGUUUUAUUUUUCAGCAAUUAACAAACAUAUCUUGGACAAUGGAUUACACAUGUAUCGGACUAAAAAUAAAAUAAUAAAUAAGUGACGACGGAAUCAUUUUCAUUUGUUUUUUAAUACGCUACCUAUAGAAGAUAAAAGAUGAUUCAAUUUAAAUAGGUGAUGGUUAAGUUUCUUUCUAUAAAUACAGGAAUUAUAGUAUGAAAAUAGAUAUUUCACGACGAGAGAAAUAUCAAAACUUUCAUGAUUAAUCAUGUAUUUAGAGAGAAAAAAUUCAGUUUAUUAUAUACAUUUUCUCAUGUUCGACUUUUUAAAAUUUGAAAGACAAUGCUUUAAUUUUGUGAUGUGGCUGACUUCAGAAAAAUGUUGUCUGGCAAGACACUAGUGAUAAUACGGGAAUAAGUUUUCCUGCAGUAAAAAGUAAAUUCUGAAAGUUUAAAAACAGGAAAAAUAAUUAUCUAAUUUAUGUAUGCAAUAUUAAGGAUGUUUAAGAAUAUAAUGAAAAGAGGAGA